GUUAAUUAGAAGGAUUACCUCUCGCGAGCCUGAUGUACGUUCGUACAAGUUAAACUUUAUUUAUAAACAGAAACAAGAUGACUCACUUAAAAAUAUAUUGGCUUCCUAGUUGGAAUCAAUAGAGAGGGAACGAUUUGACCGUUGACGUUUUGACCGUUAGAAAUUUUUCGAAAGAUAAAAUCCAAGGUUAAUACUUCGUUGAGAUUAAAUUAUUGAUUUUCGUGAUUGGAUUCGUGAGUGAAGUUUUUAAAACUUUUAAGUGAAUUAUUUAAAUAAUUAUGAUUGUGAGUGUGAUACCAAAUAGUAUUAUCUUAUUGUAAAAGUGUUGUGAAUUAUUAUUCAAUAAAACUCAGGAGACAAGAAAAGAAGACAAGGAAAGAAGCUAAGUUAAGUCAUUGCUGCACAGCGAUAUCUAAAAGAAUCCAAGU
Apis dorsata (giant honeybee) is the source of this 428-nucleotide long non-coding RNA. RefSeq lists it as uncharacterized. Lineage: Eukaryota; Metazoa; Arthropoda; Insecta; Hymenoptera; Apidae. The record is from RefSeq and is a predicted model, not a curated record. The transcript is spliced from 2 exons.